Haemorhous mexicanus (house finch) is the source of this 439-nucleotide long non-coding RNA. RefSeq lists it as uncharacterized. The record is from RefSeq and is a predicted model, not a curated record. Lineage: Eukaryota; Metazoa; Chordata; Aves; Passeriformes; Fringillidae. The transcript is spliced from 2 exons.
UGCUCUGAUCCGGCAGAACGGGACCCCGCAGCUGCAGGAGCCCCGGCGCCUGUCGGCUCUGCUGCGGGACUUCCUCGAGUGCAGCCUGGAGCCGGACGAGGAGCGGCGCUGGGCUGCCCAGGAGCUGCUGCAGCACCCAUUUUUGUCAUCAGCCAAGCCUCUCUCCAGCCUGACCCCUCUGAUCACUGCAGCGAAGAAACUGAGGGAGCAGCGGAGGAGAUGAAGCACUUGAGGAGAGCUCCUUGUUACAGUAGUUAGGACAAUUAGUUAGUUAUUGUAGUUAGCACUGCUAGUUAGUUAUGGUAGUUAGCUGUGGUAGUUAGUUAUGACAGUUAGCACUGAUAGUUGGUUAUGGUAGUUAGCACUGAUAUUUAGUUAUGGUAGUUAGGACAGCCUGUUUGUUAUGACAAUUUUUGGAAUAAAAACUCUCUCAAACCUC